GUCUAUGGCUAUACCAUCCUGAAUGCUCCUGAUCUCAUCUGAUCUCGAAAGCUAAGCAGGGUCGGACCUGAUUAGUACUUGGAUGGGAGAUGAUGUCAUAUACC
This 104-nucleotide ribosomal RNA is filed under the name Cricetulus griseus (Chinese hamster). The record is from RNAcentral. Lineage: Eukaryota; Metazoa; Chordata; Mammalia; Rodentia; Cricetidae.